GACGAACGCUGGCGGCGUGCUUAACACAUGCAAGUCGAACGAUGAAGCCUAGCUUGCUAGGUGGAUUAGUGGCGAACGGGUGAGUAAUACGUGAGUAACCUACCUUUAACUCUGGGAUAAGCCUGGGAAACUGGGUCUAAUACCGGAUACGACCAAUCUCCGCAUGGGGUGUUGGUGGAAAGCGUUAUGUAGUGGUUAUAGAUGGGCUCACGGCCUAUCAGCUUGUUGGUGAGGUAACGGCUCACCAAGGCGACGACGGGUAGCCGGCCUGAGAGGGUGACCGGCCACACUGGGACUGAGACACGGCCCAGACUCCUACGGGAGGCAGCAGUGGGGAAUAUUGCACAAUGGGCGCAAGCCUGAUGCACCGACGCCGCGUGAGGGAUGACGGCCUUCGGGUUGUAAACCUCUGUUAGCAGGGAAGAAGAGAGAUUGACGGUACCUGCAGAGAAAGCGCCGGCUAACUACGUGCCAGCAGCCGCGGUAAUACCUAGGGCGCGAGCGUUGUCCGGAAUUAUUGGGCGUAAAGAGCUUGUAGGCGGUUUGUCGCGUCUGCUGUGAAGGCCGGAGCUUAACUCCGUGUAUUGCAGUGGGUACGGGCAGACUAGAGUGCAGUAGGGGAGACUGGAAUUCCUGGUGUAGCGGUGGAAUGCGCAGAUAUCAGGAGGAACACCGAUGGCGAAGGCAGGUCUCUGGGCUGUAACUGACGCUGAGAAGCGAAAGCAUGGGGAGCGAACAGGAUUAGAUACCCUGGUAGUCCAUGCCGUAAACGUUGGGCACUAGGUGUGGGGAACAUUCCACGUUUUCCGCGCCGUAGCUAACGCAUUAAGUGCCCCGCCUGGGGAGUACGGCCGCAGGGCUAAAACUCAAAGAAAUUGACGGGGGCCCGCACAAGCGGCGGAGCAUGCGGAUUAAUUCGAUGCAACGCGAAGAACCUUACCAAGGCUUGACAUAUACUGGAUCGCAUCAGAGAUGGUGUUUCCCUUCGGGGCUGGUAUACAGGUGGUGCAUGGUUGUCGUCAGCUCGUGUCGUGAGAUGUUGGGUUAAGUCCCGCAACGAGCGCAACCCUCGUUCUAUGUUGCCAGCACGUUAUGGUGGGGACUCAUAGGAGACUGCCGGGGUCAACUCGGAGGAAGGUGGGGAUGACGUCAAAUCAUCAUGCCCCUUAUGUCUUGGGCUUCACGCAUGCUACAAUGGCCGGUACAGAGGGUUGCGAUACUGUGAGGUGGAGCUAAUCCCUAAAAAGCCGGCCUCAGUUCUGAUUUGGGGUAUGCAACUCGACCCCAUGAAGUCGGAGUCGCUAGUAAUCGCAGAUCAGCAACAGCUGCGGUGAAUAUGUUUUCCGGGGCCU
This 1352-nucleotide ribosomal RNA is filed under the name uncultured bacterium. Its description in RNAcentral is "bacterial SSU rRNA". It matches the Rfam family "Bacterial small subunit ribosomal RNA", at positions 28 to 1381 of the family's 1533-position model. The record is from RNAcentral.